UGGGGAAUUUUGCACAAUAGGGGAAACCCUGAUGCAGCGACGCCGCGUGAUUUAGAAGGCCUUCGGGUUGUAAAAAUCUUUUCUAUGGGAAGAAAAUGACAGUACCAUAGGAAUAAGGACCGGCUAAUUACGUGCCAGCAGCCGCGGUAAUACGUAAGGUCCGAGCGUUGUCCGGAAUCAUUGGGCGUAAAGGGUACGUAGGCGGGUAAGCAAGUUAGAAGUGAAAUCCUAUAGCUCAACUAUAGUAAGCUUUUAAAACUGCUCAUCUUGAGGUAUGGAAGGGAAAGUGGAAUUCCUAGUGUAGCGGUGAAAUGCGCAGAUAUUAGGAGGAAUACCGGUGGCGAAGGCGACUUUCUGGCCAUAACCUGACGCUGAGGUACGAAAGCGUGGGUAGCAAACAGG
Molecule: ribosomal RNA, 402 nt
Filed under: bacterium
Lineage: Bacteria
Description: partial 16S ribosomal RNA
Rfam family: Bacterial small subunit ribosomal RNA
Source: RNAcentral